CUCUUGCUGGUCUAGUGGCUGGGAUUCCUGGUUUUCAUCCAGACCACCCAGGUUCGAUUCCUGGGCAGGGAA
This 72-nucleotide transfer RNA is filed under the name Bos taurus (domestic cattle). It matches the Rfam family "tRNA". Rfam says of the family: Transfer RNA (tRNA) molecules are approximately 80 nucleotides in length. Their secondary structure includes four short double-helical elements and three loops (D, anti-codon, and T loops). The record is from Rfam by way of RNAcentral. RNAcentral also lists the same sequence under 5 other names. Lineage: Eukaryota; Metazoa; Chordata; Mammalia; Artiodactyla; Bovidae.